CAUCCUCAGGCCUCUGAAGCAUCAUCACUUCAAGACCUGUGUUGUGUCUCCUCUGGAUCCUCACAGUGCCUCUGUCUGUCCCGUUCACGUGGCGAGUGGACAGUGAAGACCGAACUCCUAAGGUUGUGAUGAGAAUUCAAUGAGAACAUGCAUGCCCAGCACAGCUUCAAGCACACAGAAACAGUAAAACCGAUUGCAGGCAGUUCUCUGGAUCUCAGCCCACCCCAGGUAGAUGGUGACUCAAGUUGUUCUGCAGAGACUGGUCCCCCUGCCUCUGUUGCCAUGGCACUGCAGCACAGCCUGGCCAAUCAGGAAGGAGAUGAGUAUCUGAGUCUCUGUUGCUAAAGCUGGAGCAGGACACCUAGCCAAUGGGAAGGGCAGCAGAGUGGAGCCACCAUGGAAACCUAAGCAGCUCUGGAUAAAGUGGAUCUACAAGAAAUAACUUCCCAAGGAGGAGUCCUGUAAAUAGCAUGAGUGGACAAAUACGACUCAGGCUGCUUUUUGCCAUGAAAUUGCCAGACAAGGAGGGAUGUCUGUUUCAGAGUCCUGGGCCAGGGGAGUGAAAUCACACAGUUACCUGCAUGCAGAGCCCAGAGUAGAAGACCUAGCUCCCUUUACCCUGCAACAUGCAAUCUUCUUAAACCAGUCUUCUUAUCCUUGGGUGGGCAGUCAGGGAGCUGUGCACGCCCACACCUCCAACACCCUUUAUUUUGCAAACAUGGGCAUAAAAACAACUGCAAGGGAAAAUGUGUCCCACCCCU
Homo sapiens (human) is the source of this 761-nucleotide long non-coding RNA. Ensembl annotates it as YWHAH antisense RNA 1. Its record names the gene YWHAH-AS1. The record is from Ensembl. NCBI's taxonomy places the organism in Eukaryota, Metazoa, Chordata, Mammalia, Primates, Hominidae.